GCAGUAGAGCAGUUCCCUGGGCCACUUCAGGAGAACAGAAAGAACACUCAACAGGAGAGACCCCUGAGGACUGUUUUUAUAUUAAUGGCUAAACUCACUGCUGAAGUCAGGUGGGAAUUUGGCCAGGACUCUGCUAAAUCUCAGGUGCUUGAUGUAGCUCCUUUUAGACAACAGGUUUUCUGAAGCAUGUAUAGGCCAACUUCACAGAAUUUGAUGGGGAGAAAAUCUUCAGCAGGAGGAGGCAAAUACCAAGAGGGGUCCUUGAUGGUCUUUGUAGAAACCAGGAGUACUAGGGUCAAACUGGAUCUUUCGACUAAAGGAGCCAAAUGAGCUUCAUGUUUCAGCUGGUUGAUGCCAAUGGAAAAGAGACCUUCAGAUGCACUUCGAGAAAGAUGUAUGAUCAAGGAGUAAUAAGCUUUUCUCCAUUAGUGUAACAAGUCAAAAUAUCAUUUAAUUUAUUUCUGAAAGUUUUUUUUUUCUCUUUUACUGUAACAGAUAUAGCUCAUCACUUAACUUCAUUCACCAAACAUUAUGCACUAGCAUUUUACUAUAAUUUUAGGAAGAGAAAGAAGCAUUUCAGGGGUGAUUCAUUGAUAUUCCUGAAAAUAGGAUCCUUGCUUCAGGAUUCUUAAAAUGUUAAGCAAGGUGGAUACUGAAUGCAGUACAAGUGAAUAAUGAGGUUACGGUCUUCUGUUGCUAUUUUAACUGCAUGUUGUACAGAUAAAUGCUUACAAAAUCCACAGAAAGCAUUUUGAAAUUUCAAAGAAGAGAUAGAAAGUAUAAUUGAUGCCACCAUUGAAGGCCAAAGAGAAGCAAUGAAAAUAGAGUAAAAUACCAGUAAAUAUUAAUGUAAUACUACUAAGUAUUCUAUGACGAUCUGUGCUAUAUAUAAUUAGGGUCAUUUUCUCAUGUCAUAGAUUAUCUGCAUGAGAAAAUGCAAGUAUAUAGAUGUUACAAUCUCUAGAUUCUUGGUUCCAUACAGAAGAAAGAAACUUAUUGUGAGUUCAGUUUUUCAGUCAUCUUAAUAACUUAUGGAUGUUAUGGUAUCUUUUUGGUCAAAAACAAGAAGUCUGGGGACAUAGAGAAGAUAAUUGACAUAAUUUAGAUUGAAAUUGGGGGGGUACUAAAGAUUAUACUGUGAAUCUAGAUAAAAUGGGCAUUUAUAUACAGUAUUACAAAAAUGAAUAAACAUAGUACAGGUAGUAUAAACA
This 1211-nucleotide long non-coding RNA is filed under the name Bos indicus x Bos taurus (hybrid cattle). RNAcentral describes it as "lncRNA (ENSBIXG00005003279.1)". The record is from RNAcentral. Lineage: Eukaryota; Metazoa; Chordata; Mammalia; Artiodactyla; Bovidae.